This 497-nucleotide ribosomal RNA is filed under the name uncultured bacterium. RNAcentral's name for it is "partial 16S ribosomal RNA". It matches the Rfam family "Bacterial small subunit ribosomal RNA", at positions 28 to 507 of the family's 1533-position model. The record is from RNAcentral.
GACGAACGCUGGCGGCGUGCCUAAUACAUGCAAGUUGAGCGCUGAAGGUUGGUACUUGUACCAACUGGAUGAGCAGCGCACGGGUGAGUAACGCGUGGGGAAUCUGCCUUUGAGCGGGGGACAACAUUUGGAAACGAAUGCUAAUACCGCAUAAAAACUUUAAACACAAGUUUUAAGUUUGAAAGAUGCAAUUGCAUCACUCAAAGAUGAUCCCGCGUUGUAUUAGCUAGUUGGUGAGGUAAAGGCUCACCAAGGCGAUGAUACAUAGCCGACCUGAGAGGGUGAUCGGCCACAUUGGGACUGAGACACGGCCCAAACUCCUACGGGAGGCAGCAGUAGGGAAUCUUCGGCAAUGGACGAAAGUCUGACCGAGCAACGCCGCGUGAGUGAAGAAGGUUUUCGGAUCGUAAAACUCUGUUGGUAGAGAAGAACGUUGGUGAGAGUGGAAAGCUCAUAAAGUGACGGUAACUACCCAGAAAGGGACGGCUAACUACGUG